GAAAAUAGUCCAUGGCAGCAUUUAUCGUUGAGACAAAGCUAUGAGAAACUUCCAGCAUUCUUUACGGCAACUGGUUUUUGAAAAGCCAUGAAAAGCAGUUAAUCUCCACGUAUUAUGAAAACAAAAAAAACUAGCAUGUCAAUAUGAUUCUAACAAUAGCCAACAACACGAAUUAAAUCUUUAUUAUUCCAAAAAAUAGCAAGUCCAUCAAACCUACCCAACCUAUCAACUGAAAAGCAACAAUCAAAAUGAAACUGAGCUUGUAGCUCCUCUAUUCUACUACAGUGAACUAAGGUUUCUAUUAAAAAUAAAACAUCAGGCUUACUACUCUUAAUAAGCUCCUGAAGAGCGCAAACCGCCUGGAGGUUGCCUAAGCCUCGGUAGUUCCAACUGAUGCAAAUCAUUGUGCUUGGCAGGCCUACUCAGUCUGCUCCACCGUUUGAGUAUUAAACACUUGAACCAAAGAAUCCACUGUAGAAUCUUCAAAUGGAGGAGGUAGAUUGAGUAGCCUAUGUUACCCUUGGCCUUUUCUUGGACUCACCUACUUUAAACUCAUCUACUCGAUGAGAUGAUCAUGAUUAUGGCCUGGAUUCAAGUUGUGGUGGCUUCGCUAGGGAGAAAUCGAAGCAAGAAGGAUUCAGUUACUAUGGCAGGCACGAUUCUGAUGAUUCAUGCAUUCUCCGGCGAGUUUAGGCUUCGGGAUAGGCACCGGUCGAUCUCUCCUCCCUGCGAGAACAUUUUCCCUCUGUCAAUCGAGGUUUCCGAUGGAGAACGAUGAACCAUGAUCGGUGGCUCCUUUUGUGGCUGUCGAGGCUCAUUCCGGGCAAAUGGAUCACUAACUCAACAAAUGGACACUAAAUUCAAGUCCCCCAUGAAAUUCUGAGCAGAGUGGUGUAAGCCUUGUGAAGUUCUAGCAAGGCACGAUUUUUCGGCCACUGUGCGGCGAGCUUUGGCAAGACUGCGGCAGGGACUUCGAGGCAGAAUUGUCUACUCUUCAAGCUGAUAUCAAAUCUGCAAUCCAAUUUUGAAUUUGAGAGUUUUAGGCCUCGACACUACUUUUUUUUAAAAUUCUAUUAAAGGUUAUUAAUUUAAAUUAGAUCAAAUUAGUUUACUUAAGUGGAUUGAUAUUGAAUGAGCUUAAGUAAAUGCUAAUUUAAUUAAUUGAGCUAAUGGUCGACAUAAAACGUCAUGAAAUUAGAGUAGAAUUUGAUAUCCAUAAGUUACCAUUAUGAAUGGCGCAUUUAUUGCUUCUAAG
RNAcentral lists this long non-coding RNA (1255 nucleotides) under Jatropha curcas. Its description in RNAcentral is "long non-coding RNA (JCUR_LNC001283)". Lineage: Eukaryota; Viridiplantae; Streptophyta; Magnoliopsida; Malpighiales; Euphorbiaceae. The record is from RNAcentral.